CGAGGGGCAGCACAGGUAGCAAUACCGGGUGGCGACCGGCGCACGGGUGAGUAACGCGUAUGCAACUUGCCUAUCAGAGGGGGAUAACCCGGCGAAAGUCGGACUAAUACCGCAUGAAGCAGGGGCCCCGCAUGGGGAUAUUUGCUAAAGAUUCAUCGCUGAUAGAUAGGCAUGCGUUCCAUUAGGCAGUUGGCGGGGUAACGGCCCACCAAACCGACGAUGGAUAGGGGUUCUGAGAGGAAGGUCCCCCACAUUGGUACUGAGACACGGACCAAACUCCUACGGGAGGCAGCAGUGAGGAAUAUUGGUCAAUGGGCGAAAGGCUGAACCAGCCAAGUCGCGUGAGGGAUGAAGGUUCUAUGGAUCGUAAACCUCUUUUAUAAGGGAAUAAAGUGCGGGACGUGUCCCGUUUUGUAUGUACCUUAUGAAUAAGGAUCGGCUAACUCCGUGCCAGCAGCCGCGGUAAUACGGAGGAUCCGAGCGUUAUCCGGAUUUAUUGGGUUUAAAGGGUGCGU
RNAcentral lists this ribosomal RNA (515 nucleotides) under Parabacteroides distasonis. Its description in RNAcentral is "bacterial SSU rRNA". It matches the Rfam family "Bacterial small subunit ribosomal RNA", at positions 63 to 572 of the family's 1533-position model. Lineage: Bacteria; Pseudomonadati; Bacteroidota; Bacteroidia; Bacteroidales; Tannerellaceae. The record is from RNAcentral.